CCUACGGGUGGCAGCAGUGGGGAAUUUUGCGCAAUGCUCGUAAGAGUGACGCAGCGCCGCCGCGUGAAUGACGAAGGCCUUCGGGUCGUAAAGUUCUUUCGACAGGGAAGAAGCAAGUGACGGUACCUGACGAAUAAGCCACGGCUAACUACGUGCCAGCAGCCGCGGUACUACGUAGGUGGCAAGCGUUAUCCGGAUUUACUGGGUGUAAAGGGCGUGUAGGCGGGACGUCAAGUCAGAUGUGAAAACCACGGGCUCAACCUGUGCCCUGCAUUGGAAACUGGAGUUCUUGAGUACUGGAGAGGCAGAUGGAAUUCCUAGUGUAGCGGUGAAAUGCGUAGAUAUUAGGAGGAACACCAGUGGCGAAGGCGGUCUGCUGGACAGCAACUGACGCUGAGGCGCGAAAGCGUGGGGAGCAAACAGGAGUAGAUACCCUGGUAGUC
RNAcentral lists this ribosomal RNA (443 nucleotides) under uncultured bacterium. RNAcentral describes it as "partial 16S ribosomal RNA". It matches the Rfam family "Bacterial small subunit ribosomal RNA", at positions 338 to 795 of the family's 1533-position model. The record is from RNAcentral.